This is a non-coding RNA of Pelobates cultripes (western spadefoot toad), 269 nucleotides long. The record is from the annotation of a GenBank genome assembly. Lineage: Eukaryota; Metazoa; Chordata; Amphibia; Anura; Pelobatidae.
GAGUAGGGUUAGGGUUUGGUUAGGAAUAGGGUUAGGGUAGGGUUAGGGUUAGGAGUAGGGUUAGGGUAGUGUUGGGUUAGGAAUAGGGUUAAGGUUAGGGUAGGGUUACCUCUACCCCUAACCCUACUCCUAACCCAACCCUAACCUUAACUCAACCCUAACCCUAGUCCUAACACUAACCCUCCUCCUAACCCAACCCUAACCCUACUCCCAACCCUAACCCUACUUCUAACCCAACCCUACUCCUAACCGUACUCCUAACCCUACUC